RNAcentral lists this transfer RNA (90 nucleotides) under SAR202 cluster bacterium. Its description in RNAcentral is "tRNA-Ser". It matches the Rfam family "tRNA". Rfam says of the family: Transfer RNA (tRNA) molecules are approximately 80 nucleotides in length. Their secondary structure includes four short double-helical elements and three loops (D, anti-codon, and T loops). The record is from RNAcentral. Lineage: Bacteria; Bacillati; Chloroflexota; Dehalococcoidia.
GGAGGGAUGGCUGAGUGGACGAAAGCGACAGUCUUGAAAACUGUUAUAGGGGCAACUCUAUCGUGGGUUCGAAUCCCACUCCCUCCGCCA